AUCGCUUCUCGGCCUUUUGGCUAAGAUCAAGUGUAGUAUCUGUUCUUAUCAAUUUAAUAUCUGAUAUGUCCUCUAUUUGAGGACUCUAUAUUAAAUGGAUUCUUGGGACUUUAAAAAAAAGAAAGUAUACUGCUAAGCCCUUGACAAAGACCACUAAUGGUUGGAGGAAGAAGC
RNAcentral lists this small nuclear RNA (174 nucleotides) under Salvator merianae (Argentine black and white tegu). RNAcentral's name for it is "U2 spliceosomal RNA (ENSSMRG00000008294.1)". The stretch from base 1 to 114 matches the Rfam family "U2 spliceosomal RNA". Rfam says of the family: U2 is a small nuclear RNA (snRNA) component of the spliceosome (involved in pre-mRNA splicing). Complementary binding between U2 snRNA (in an area lying towards the 5' end but 3' to hairpin I) and the branchpoint sequence (BPS) of the intron results the bulging out of an unpaired adenosine, on the BPS, which initiates a nucleophilic attack at the intronic 5' splice site, thus starting the first of two transesterification reactions that mediate splicing. The record is from RNAcentral. Lineage: Eukaryota; Metazoa; Chordata; Lepidosauria; Squamata; Teiidae.